This is a non-coding RNA of Oryctolagus cuniculus (rabbit), 3019 nucleotides long. The record is from RefSeq and is a predicted model, not a curated record. Lineage: Eukaryota; Metazoa; Chordata; Mammalia; Lagomorpha; Leporidae.
UCCAUGUCCUCAAAUGAGCCCCAGCAGCCUUAUAACCUCCAUUCACUUGUUCAUAAAAUGAUUCUCCACAUGACAGAGCUGAACAGCAACCAAUGGCCAAGCCCUGCAGGAAUAUAAACAAAUAACAUGUAGUCAUAUGUAUUUUGUGUGUGAGAUAAGCAGAGGGUUUAUCUUCUGGGCAUCUGUUUCAAAGUGUGAGAUGUUUGACUUCCUCCAAAAUCUUUUUCAGCAGACUGGCUUACAUGAGGCCCAGUAAGCAGGUGACUGCUUCCUGCUUCUGCCACACAACCCAAGCCAAGCCCUGUUCUGGUGGUAUCCUGAAGUGGCCCAAUGGCAGAGUCAAAUCUGAGGCACUAGGCCAGGAAAUGAAUGAUGAAGGUGAAUGCUACCAAUGAAGCACCUAUCAACCUGUAUGGUAUGAAGGAAAAGCAUUCUGAGGUGAUAAAAAAGGUGUUCCAUGGUGCGACACAGAGAUUGGAAAGCUGCAGUACAUACAUAAGAUGAAGCAUUCAAACAGAACUGAGAAACUCUGAAUUUGAGGACAUCAGCUGGAGCCCCUCUCUUUUGCCCAGUGUGGCUCUGGGAUUUUACCUCUGUCGUGUCAUGCACAGUGAGAUAAGGACAGGAAGAGUCCCCUCAUCUGGCUUUCAGGACUGGACAAAGACAUCCCACAUUACAGCUGAAGGAGAGUGAUACCUCUACUGUAGGAGUACUCUCAAGAACAAGAAUUUCUGCUCAUAUUGGGACACUCCUGUAUUCUAAAAAUUACCACAGAUGAAUUUAGGUAAGAAGGGGAGAGAGAAAACUCACAUUCAUUCAGGUGAUCUUCUCAGGUACACAAGAAGGUGGUACACAAAGUGUCAGUUUUGUCCCUAUAGAUUACAUUUUAGGUAUUCAACUAAUUACCACAACUCAGAAACCAUAUGAUAUUUAUAUUUUUGUGACUGGAUAAUUUCACUAGACAUAAUGAUUUCCAGUUGCAUGGUAUUUUGAUUGGUUUGCAUGGAAUCUAUAAAUUGCAUUCAGUAGUAUGGAUAUAUUGAUGAUAUUGAUUCUUCCAAUCCAUUAACAUGAAAUAUGUUUCCAUUUUUAUGCAUUCUUCUAUUUCUUUCUUUAAUGUUUUGUAAUUUUCAUCAUAGACAUCUUUAAUGUCCUUUUUUAUUCCAAGGUAUUUAAAUUUUUGUAGUUACUGUGAAUGGAAUUGAUCUUAGAAGUUCUUUCUCAGCCGUGGGGCUGUUUGUGUAUACAAAGGCUACUGAUUUUGUGUGUUGAUUGUAUAUUCUGCAAUUUUACCAAACUCUUUUGUGAACUCCAGUCAUCUCUUUGUGGAGUAUUUUGGGUUCCUUAUAGGGAUAGUUUGGAUUCUUCCUCCCCUAUUUCUAUCCGUUUGAUUUCUUUUUCUUGCCUGAUGGCUCUGGCUAACACUUUUAGGACUAUAUUAAAUAGCAAGGGUGCGAGGUGGCAACCUUGUCUGGUUACAGUUCUUAAUAGGUAUGCAUGCAAUUUUUCCCCAUUCAGUAGGUUAUUGGAAGUGGGUUUGUUAUAAAUUGCUUUGAUUAUGUUGAGUGUUCCUUCUAUAUCCAAUUGCUCAAGGUUUUCAUCAUAAAGGGGUGCUGAGUUUUGUCAAAGGCUUUCUCUGCAUCUAUGGAGAUAAUGAUGUGGUUUUGGAUUUCACUUUGUUAAUGUGGCAUAUCACAUUUAUUGAUUUUUGGAUGUGGAACCAUCCCUGCAUACAAGAAAUAAUCCCCUUUGGUCUAGGAGAAUGAUCUUUCUGAUGUGUUGUUGGAUUCGGGUGGCUAGUAUUUUGCCUACGUUUAUUGUGUCUAUGUACAUCAGGUUAUUGAUCUACAGUUAUUUUUCAAAUUGGUGCACAAAAUCUAAUUCAGUUUAUUAGCCCAUGAAUUACUAGUGAUAGUAAUUAGCAUAACUGCAGAAAAACAUUUAAUAAAAUGAACAGAGAUCUGUGAUUUGUAAACAAAGAACUAAAACAACCCAAUAAAUGCAAAAAAGAAUGCUUUUGUGCCCUAAAGGGUAUAUUAAGAUUGCUUAAGAAAUGUGGAAAUUGUGAGAAGGUUGGAAACAAAGUUGAAGCAAGAAUGCUGUACACUACAACUUGUGCUAGAGGCCCUCAGGGGGCUCUGCUCUGUGCAUAUUAUUUUUUAAAAAUUAUUCUUUAAUUCAUUUGAAAAACAGAGUUACAGGGAGGCAGAGAAACAGAGAGAGGAGUCUCCAUAUGCUGGUUUAUUCCCCCAGAUGGCCGCAAUGGCUGGAACUCUGCAAAUUUGAAGCCAGGAGCAUCUUCUGGGUCUCUCAGGCAGAUGCAAGGACACAAGUGCUUGGGCCAUCUUUCACUGCUUCCCAGACCAUAGCAGAGAGCUGGAAUGGAAGCAGAACAGUUAAUACUGGAACCAGCACCUAUAUUUGAUACCGAUGCCAUAGAGAGUGGGUUAAUCUACUGUGCCACUGCUCUGACCCCUGAUCCUCUUCUGUUCCACCUCUCUGCUGAUGGCCUGGAAAACCAGUGGAGGACAGGCCAAGAGGUUGAGCCCCUUUACCCACUUGGGAGAUUGGGAAGAAACCCCUGACUCCUGGCUAUAUAUUGGCUCAUCUCUGGCUGUUGUGGCCAUGUAGGGUGUGAACCAGCAGAUGGAAGUGUUCCCACUGUCUCCAUGUCAUUCUCCCUCUAUCUGUAACAUCUUGAUCGAAACAAAUUAAAUCAAUCUCUUGAUCAAUAAUCUUUCAUUACAAAUAGUGUGAGCCUUGGGCAGUUUUUAGGCUAUGAGAGUAGGGAGCGAAUCACACCAUUAAAGUAAUGGCUGAGGGACACUGCUAUCUAGUGUUGAAAGAGAAGAUGCAGCAAGAAUCUGCCAUGUACAAAGGCAGAGUAGCCAUCACGAUGCAUGGAAUCCUCUAGAUCAUCACUUCCUGAACUCAAGAAACCAUGGACAGUGAAGUUAUGGUGUUACAAAUGACACAGACUAAAGUAUUGUUUGAAGCAUCAUGAAUAGGUUCAAAGAAU